Long non-coding RNA from Papaver somniferum (opium poppy), 1055 nucleotides. RefSeq lists it as uncharacterized. The record is from RefSeq and is a predicted model, not a curated record. The transcript has 8 exons. Lineage: Eukaryota; Viridiplantae; Streptophyta; Magnoliopsida; Ranunculales; Papaveraceae.
CUCUAACUCAGCCUCAACCAAAACCCUAUCUCGUAACAAAAUUUCCAAAUCAAGGCCUAACACAAAUCCUUCACAUCUAUUGCUCACAGUGGCUGCAUCUCUUAAUAUGGGUUAGUUUGGAAGUCCAUUUGGAGGAGUCGCUGUGUUCAAAGGUCAGAGAAGAAGAAAAUUGGCAGUGCAUCAACAAGUGAGGCAUUAGUGAAUAAAUUGGCGGGACUUGCAGCAAGUAAUUUAUGGAUUGUAUCUUACUAUUGUCUGAGAGGUUUGAGGCUGUAAACCAUGUCCUAAUAGAGGUGGCUCUUACUGGUUCACCAUGAUGCAAAGCAAAAGGCAUUACCCAGCAGAUAUUUAGCUCAAAGUUGUAGGGAAGAGUCAGUUAAGUUCUCCCUUUUAGAUUACUUACUUUCAAUAGGACCAAGUGCUUGCAAUUCUUAAAAGGCUGGAAAUUAUUUGAGAAGGUGGUCAUAAGAAGAAGCAAAUGUGAACCUGUGUUUCGUGUUACAAAACAAGUAGCAGCUAAGAAGGAAAAACCAGAAUCUUGCUGCUCUGAAUCGGAUUUGAUAGUGAUUCCGAGAAAGUUGCAGCUCCUUUAACUAAGAAUGGAAAUUUCAAGAAGAAAACGAAUCAAGUACUGAUGAUAGUUCAGAUGAUUCAAGCUCUGAGGAUCAGCCAGUUGCAAAGAAAGUUGCUCCUUGCACCAGCAACAAAGAAGCAAGAAUCCAGUGAUGAUGACAGUUCAGAUAACUCAUAAGGGUUACAUAGCACAAAUGAGGGAACAAGCUGGGUACUUAGAUGAGAAUAGUACUAGAAACAUCAUCACCUAGUGCUAUUCUGAUGCCCAUACACGAUCAAGCUUUGAAUCCAAUCUUUGAAUCCUUGCGUUAUUACAACUCCAGCAAGAGGAACCAGUUCACAAUGUCAAUGAAGAAGUCCUCUUGCAAGUACAAUUGAAACAUCAGCACUGAGCACAUCUUUAAGCUAGGGGUAGAGGUAAUUUCGACUGAUGAUGUUGGAAUACCAGUAGAUAUAAAGCAAUAUAGCAUCUGUCUAGUAUA